This 489-nucleotide ribosomal RNA is filed under the name uncultured bacterium. Its description in RNAcentral is "bacterial SSU rRNA". It matches the Rfam family "Bacterial small subunit ribosomal RNA", at positions 11 to 507 of the family's 1533-position model. The record is from RNAcentral.
GUUUGAUCAUGGCUCAGGAUGAACGCUAGCGGCAGGCUUAACACAUGCAAGUCGAGGGACGGUAGCAAUACUGGACCGGCAAACGGGUGCGGAACACGUACGCAACUUACCCCAAACAGGUGAAUAGCCUUCGGAAACGAAGAUUAAUACACCGUAAGAUAUAGGAGUGGCAUCAUUUUUAUAUAAUAGCUCAGGCGGUUUGGGAUGGGCGUGCGCCUGAUUAGGUAGUUGGUGGGGUAACGGCUCACCAAGCCAACGAUCAGUAACUGGUGUGAGAGCACGACCAGUCACACGGGCACUGAGACACGGGCCCGACUCCUACGGGAGGCAGCAGUGAGGAAUAUUGGGCAAUGGACGCAAGUCUGACCCAGCCAUGCCGCGUGAAGGAUGAAGGCGUUCUGCGUUGUAAACUUCUUUUAUCUGGGAAGAAACCUACGAUUUCUAUUGUAGCUGACGGUACCAGAGGAAUAAGCACCGGCUAACUCCGUG